This 484-nucleotide ribosomal RNA is filed under the name uncultured bacterium. RNAcentral describes it as "bacterial SSU rRNA". It matches the Rfam family "Bacterial small subunit ribosomal RNA", at positions 28 to 526 of the family's 1533-position model. The record is from RNAcentral.
GACGAACGCUGGCGGCGUGCUUAACACAUGCAAGUCGAGCGGUAAGGCCCUUUCGGGGGUACACGAGCGGCGAACGGGUGAGUAACACGUGAGCAAUCUGCCCUUGACUUUGGAAUAACCAUUGGAAACGAUGGCUAAUGCCGAAUAUGACCCCCCUUCGCAUGUUGGGGGGUGGAAAGCUCCGGCGGUCAAGGAUGAGCUCGCGGCCUAUCAGCUUGUUGGUGAGGUAAUGGCUCACCAAGGCAUUGACGGGUAGCCGGCCUGAGAGGGUGUCCGGCCACACUGGGACUGAGACACGGCCCAGACUCCUACGGGAGGCAGCAGUGGGGAAUAUUGGACAAUGGGCGAAAGCCUGAUCCAGCAACGCCGCGUGAGGGAUGACGGCCUUCGGGUUGUAAACCUCUUUCAGUAGGGACGAAGCGAAAGUGACGGUACCUACAGAAGAAGGACCGGCCAACUACGUGCCAGCAGCCGCGAGUAAAAC